Molecule: non-coding RNA, 75 nt
Filed under: unclassified sequences
Source: RNAcentral
ACCCUGAUUCAUUCAGGGUAUUAGUAAUGUGGCCUAAGACAGUUGCAAGCCUGUUUGAAAAACACAGAGCACUAA